This 381-nucleotide long non-coding RNA is filed under the name Vigna radiata. RNAcentral's name for it is "long non-coding RNA (VRAD_LNC003808)". The record is from RNAcentral. Lineage: Eukaryota; Viridiplantae; Streptophyta; Magnoliopsida; Fabales; Fabaceae.
GGCGGAAAGUGAUCAUCGGUGCAAAAGGUACGGACAAGGAAUAGUUCCUGGCAGACUUUCAGUGGAAGGGGCACAUGAACGAAUAAAACAUACACCGGAAUAAGAAGGAUAUAAAGACAGUAUAUGUAUAGGACUGUAUGGUUAAAGGAUAGCUUAAAAGAAUUAAUUUGGCUAUUCAUAUCAACAAAUGUAUUUGCUUUUGGAUAGCUUAACCUAUAAGAAUUUCAUGGUUAAACGUGUUUAGCCUAGAGUAAUUUACACCAGUAUUGUCUUAUGUGCAGUAUAUAGAUAUUGUUUUGUGUGUUUUUUUAAGUAUUAGAAGUCCUACAUCGACUAGAGAUAAAGUUAUUUAAGUCUAUAUAAAUGGAUGCAAAUCUCACU